CUCCGGCGCGGCCUCCGCCUCUCGCGGUCCGGCGAGCUCAGCUUGGCAACGGCUCCCGGGUCCCGCCGCGGCCCCGGCCGCUCGAGAAGCUCCGCAAGCUUUAGCUCUCGCUCCCCCGUCCGACCGCUCGGGCGCCCUGCAGCCUUGCCCGGCGCCACCGCGCGCCCGGACUCCUUCGCUGCGCUGUGCCUUCUUGUGGGGCGACCUGGAGGAACGCAGCGAACUUAGGAAUCUUUCCUAGGCGUUGUCAGGCACUUCUCCAGUCCACCCUGGUACCGGAGUUGCUACUCCAGGGCACAAAAGUGAUCUGUUUGGUGUCCAUCUCUUGAGAGUGCCGCGGACAGAGCUGGGAAGGGCAGGCGGGGAGCAUUCCUUGCCCCCCGACCCCCGUCCGCCGCCUCCCGCCAACCCUACAAGUUUACAAAAAAGCAGCUGAAGUUAUUCCAUCCAGUCUGGACUUUGGCUGCUAGGCAGAAAGACAAAGGCCGAAGCACCGAGAAGCAGAAAGGUGGUGCCUUUGGGAGGUGACUAGUUAAUGAACAAGAAAACGGGCCCUCAUCAGACUCAGAAUGUGCCAGUGCCUGGAUCUUGGACUUGUCAGCCUCCAGAACUGUCGCUUGGGGACCUUCUGGUCCACCUCUUUAUGUUACCUACAGAGCUAGGUGUUCUGGCUAGACCUCCCUCCAGAGGCUUGUGGCAAUGACUUGAAUAAGGAGGCAAAAUAUCCUGGGAGGUUCCUGAGAAACCUGAAGAAGACCUGAGGCUUUUCAGAUACACAGGUAGGACCAUUUUAAGAUGUAUGGGAGUUUUAUUUGAACCAGGAGUGGGAGGGAUUGCUGGA
Molecule: long non-coding RNA, 841 nt
Organism: Sus scrofa (pig)
Lineage: Eukaryota; Metazoa; Chordata; Mammalia; Artiodactyla; Suidae
Source: RefSeq, a predicted model, not a curated record